RNAcentral lists this ribosomal RNA (481 nucleotides) under uncultured bacterium. RNAcentral's name for it is "SSU rRNA". It matches the Rfam family "Bacterial small subunit ribosomal RNA", at positions 26 to 521 of the family's 1533-position model. The record is from RNAcentral.
AGAACGAACGCUGGCGGCAUGCCUAACACAUGCAAGUCGAACGCUUCCGGGGCUUCGGUCGCGGAGGAGUGGCGCACGGGUGAGUAGCGCGUGGGAACCUGCCCUGUUGUGGGGGAUAACCGAGGGAAACUUCGGCUAAUACCGCAUACGCCCCGGGACUUGGUCUUCGGAUUAGGUCUGGGGGGAAAGAUUGAUCGCAGCAGGAGGGGCCCGCGUCGGAUUAGCUGGUUGGUGGGGUAACGGCUCACCAAGGCGAUGAUCCGUAGCUGGUCUGAGAGGAUGAUCAGCCACACUGGGACUGAGACACGGCCCAGACUCCUACGGGAGGCAGCAGUGGGGAAUAUUGGACAAUGGGGGCAACCCUGAUCCAGCAAUGCCGCGUGAGUGAUGAAGGCCUUAGGGUUGUAAAGCUCUUUCGCCCGCGACGAUGAUGACGGUAGCGGGAGAAGAAGCCCGGCUAACUCGCGCCAGCAGCCGCGGU